GGAUGAACGCUAGCGGCAGGAGGCUUAAGCCAUGCAAGUCGAGGGGUAACAGGAAUAGCUUGCUAUUUGCUGACGACCGGCGCACGGGUGAGUAACGCGUAUGCAACCUACCUUUUACUGGAGAAUAGCCUUUAGAAAUGAAGAUUAAUACUCCAUAAUAAUUAAGACUCUCCUGAGUUUUUAAUUUAAAGUUUCGGCGGUAAAAGAUGGGCAUGCGUUUUAUUAGUUAGUUGGUAAGGUAACGGCUUACCAAGACUACGAUAAAUAGGGGUCCUGAGAGGGAGAUCCCCCACACUGGUACUGAGACACGGACCAGACUCCUACGGGAGGCAGCAGUGAGGAAUAUUGGACAAUGGAGGCAACUCUGAUCCAGCCAUGCCGCGUGCAGGAAGACUGCCCUAUGGGUUGUAAACUACUUUUAUAUAGGAAGAAACCCUCUCACGUGUGAGAGGCUGACGGUACUAUACGAAUAAGGACCGGCUAACUCCGUGCCAGCAGCCGCGGUAAUACGGAGGGUCCAAGCGUUAUCCGGAUUUAUUGGGUUUAAAGGGUCCGCAGGCGGGAAAUUAAGUCAGUGGUGAAAUCCUACAGCUUAACUGUAGAACUGCCAUUGAAACUGAUUUUCUUGAGUGUGGUUGAAGUGGGCGGAAUGUGUCAUGUAGCGGUGAAAUGCAUAGAUAUGACACAGAACACCGAUAGCGAAGGCAGCUCACUAAGCCAUUACUGACGCUCAUGAACGAAAGCGUGGGGAGCGAACAGGAUUAGAUACCCUGGUAGUCCACGCCGUAAACUAUGAUUACUCGUUAUUGGCGAUACACUGUCAGUGACUAAGCGAAAGUUUUAAGUAAUCCACCUGGGGAGUACGAUCGCAAGAUUGAAACUCAAAGGAAUUGACGGGGGCCCGCACAAGCGGUGGAGCAUGUGGUUUAAUUCGAUGAUACGCGAGGAACCUUACCAAGGCUUAAAUGCAGAACGACAGAUUUGGAAACAAGUCCUUCUUCGGACGAUUUACAAGGUGCUGCAUGGUUGUCGUCAGCUCGUGCCGUGAGGUGUCGGGUUAAGUCCCAUAACGAGCGCAACCCCUAUUUUUAGUUGCCAACGAGUAAUGUCGGGAACUCUAGAAAGACUGCCUGUGUAAACAGUGAGGAAGGUGGGGAUGACGUCAAAUCAUCACGGCCCUUAUGUCUUGGGCUACACACGUGCUACAAUGGUUACUACAGUGGGCUGCCAUCUGGUAACAGAGAGCAAAUCCAUAAAGGUAAUCCCAGUUCGGAUCGGAGUCUGCAACUCGACUCUGUGAAGUUGGAAUCGCUAGUAAUCGUAUAUCAGCAAUGAUACGGUGAAUACGUUCCCGGGCCUUGUACAC
RNAcentral lists this ribosomal RNA (1366 nucleotides) under uncultured prokaryote. RNAcentral describes it as "partial 16S ribosomal RNA". It matches the Rfam family "Bacterial small subunit ribosomal RNA", at positions 27 to 1388 of the family's 1533-position model. The record is from RNAcentral.